This 83-nucleotide transfer RNA is filed under the name Escherichia coli. RNAcentral's name for it is "tRNA-Leu". It matches the Rfam family "tRNA". Rfam says of the family: Transfer RNA (tRNA) molecules are approximately 80 nucleotides in length. Their secondary structure includes four short double-helical elements and three loops (D, anti-codon, and T loops). The record is from RNAcentral. Lineage: Bacteria; Pseudomonadati; Pseudomonadota; Gammaproteobacteria; Enterobacterales; Enterobacteriaceae.
GCCCGGAUGGUGGAAUCGGUAGACACAAGGGAUUUAAAAUCCCUCGGCGUUCGCGCUGUGCGGGUUCAAGUCCCGCUCCGGGU